This 201-nucleotide microRNA precursor is filed under the name Medicago truncatula (barrel medic). RNAcentral's name for it is "MIR2670 microRNA precursor family". It matches the Rfam family "MIR2670 microRNA precursor family". The record is from Rfam by way of RNAcentral. Lineage: Eukaryota; Viridiplantae; Streptophyta; Magnoliopsida; Fabales; Fabaceae.
UCGGGGUAAAAUAGUAAGUACCCGACUUGGGGAAGUGAUCGACCCUUAGGAUGAGUUUAAAUCUGUUUUUUUUUACUCCAUAAACUUUCUACCAUGAGUAAAAUGAUUCUUGUUGGGGUAUAAAAAAAAAUCAGAUUUAAAUUUAGCCCAAGGGUUGGUGAUGUAUUUUUCCUAAGAAGGCUGCUCACUAUUUUACCCAAU